ACGCCGCGUGAGGGAGGAGGCCUGUGGGUUGUAAACCUCUUUUCUCAGGGAAGAAGAUCUGACGGUACCUGAGGAAUCAGCAUCGGCUAACUCCGUGCCAGCAGCCGCGGUAAGACGGAGGAUGCAAGCGUUAUCCGGAAUUAUUGGGCGUAAAGCGUCCGUAGGUGGUUUUGUAAGUCUGUUGUUAAAGCCCACAGCUCAACUGUGGAUCGGCAAUGGAAACUAUAAGACUUGAGUGUGGUAGGGGUAGAGGGAAUUCCUAGUGUAGCGGUGAAAUGCGUAGAUAUUAGGAAGAACACCAGUGGCGAAGGCGCUCUACUGGGCCAUAACUGACACUGAUGGACGAAA
This 348-nucleotide ribosomal RNA is filed under the name uncultured cyanobacterium. RNAcentral describes it as "bacterial SSU rRNA". It matches the Rfam family "Bacterial small subunit ribosomal RNA", at positions 394 to 758 of the family's 1533-position model. Lineage: Bacteria; Bacillati; Cyanobacteriota. The record is from RNAcentral.